AGCGGGGUGGAGAAGAAGUAUCUCGCGGGGCUCAUAACCCCGAGCCGUCGGUGCAAUUCCGGCCCCCGCAACCA
This 74-nucleotide transfer RNA is filed under the name Candidatus Kaiserbacteria bacterium. RNAcentral's name for it is "tRNA-Met". It matches the Rfam family "tRNA". From Rfam's summary of the family: Transfer RNA (tRNA) molecules are approximately 80 nucleotides in length. Their secondary structure includes four short double-helical elements and three loops (D, anti-codon, and T loops). Lineage: Bacteria; Candidatus Kaiseribacteriota. The record is from RNAcentral.